GCAUAAGCUUUGAACAAGAGUGAUCUGUCCGAAAAUUAUCAGAGAAGAGAUAGUUUUGCUGUGAUAUCUCAUGAUUUUUGGUAUGAGAAGUAGCUUGUGAGCUGUCCGGCUGAAAUAAUAGUAAGCUGGGCCGAAACCUGUUCGUUAACGAGGAAAGAGCGGGGUAAAAACCCAACUUAGGUGGUACCACGGCACAGUCGUCCUAUAU
Molecule: non-coding RNA, 208 nt
Filed under: Liquorilactobacillus oeni
Lineage: Bacteria; Bacillati; Bacillota; Bacilli; Lactobacillales; Lactobacillaceae
Description: Lactobacillus oeni T-box sequence
Rfam family: T-box leader
About the family: Uncharged tRNA acts as the effector for transcription antitermination of genes in the T-box leader family. T-boxes are found upstream of many aminoacyl-tRNA synthetase genes and some amino acid biosynthetic genes usually in Gram-positive bacteria. The anticodon of a specific tRNA base pairs to a specifier sequence within the T-box motif, and the NCCA acceptor tail of the tRNA base pairs to a conserved bulge in the T-box antiterminator hairpin.
Source: RNAcentral